CAUUUCCACUCCGGUAUAGAGAUUGGUUGUAGUAAACCAGAUGGCACUUGAUGUUCAGCCUUCACUUGCUGACAUGUUAAGCAUUUGGACACAUAUUCUACUAUGUCUUUCUUCAUACCAGGCCACCAGUAAUAUAACUUCAGAUCCUGGUACAUCUUGUUACUGCCUGGAUGCAUAGCAUAAGCAGCAGUAUGUGCUUCCCUAAG
RNAcentral lists this unclassified non-coding RNA (206 nucleotides) under Hevea brasiliensis (rubber tree). Lineage: Eukaryota; Viridiplantae; Streptophyta; Magnoliopsida; Malpighiales; Euphorbiaceae. The record is from RNAcentral.